CCAUUUCAGCAGUAGCUUGUCCAGCCAGGAACUGUAAAAACCUGACAAUCUAGAGUCAAUAAAACCUUGGAAGACCUGUUUUACAGCACCGUCGGAAUUAAAAUUUUUUCCUAUCAAAAUGUUAUCCAAAUUCUGGAAGAAGUGGUAGUCAGUGGGGGCAAGAUCAGUGAUUUUUUGUAAAAAU
Molecule: long non-coding RNA, 184 nt
Organism: Octopus sinensis (East Asian common octopus)
Lineage: Eukaryota; Metazoa; Mollusca; Cephalopoda; Octopoda; Octopodidae
Exons: 3
Source: RefSeq, a predicted model, not a curated record